Molecule: ribosomal RNA, 423 nt
Filed under: uncultured bacterium
Lineage: Bacteria
Description: bacterial SSU rRNA
Rfam family: Bacterial small subunit ribosomal RNA
Source: RNAcentral
AAGACCUUGCGCUUUUGGAGCGGCCGAUGUCUGAUUAGCUUGUUGGUGAGGUAAAAGCUUACCAAGGCUUCGAUCAGUAGCUGGUCUGAGAGGACGACCAGCCACACUGGGACUGAGACACGGCCCAGACUCCUACGGGAGGCAGCAGUGGGGAAUUUUGGACAAUGGGGGCAACCCUGAUCCAGCCAUGCCGCGUGAGUGAAGAAGGCCUUCGGGUUGUAAAGCUCUUUCAGCCGGAACGAAACGGUUACGGUUAAUACCCGUGACUACUGACGGUACCGGAAGAAGAAGCACCGGCUAACUACGUGCCAGCAGCCGCGGUAAUACGUAGGGUGCGAGCGUUAAUCGGAAUUACUGGGCGUAAAGCGUGCGCAGGUGGUUUUGUAAGUCAGAUGUGAAAUCCCCGGGCUCAACCUGGGAACU